Molecule: ribosomal RNA, 484 nt
Filed under: uncultured bacterium
Lineage: Bacteria
Description: partial 16S ribosomal RNA
Rfam family: Bacterial small subunit ribosomal RNA
Source: RNAcentral
AUUGAACGCUGGCGGCAGGCCUAACACAUGCAAGUCGAGCGGAUGAAGGGAGCUUGUUCCUGGAUUCAGCGGCGGACGGGUGAGUAAUGCCUAGGAAUCUGCCUGGUAGUGGGGGAUAACGUCCGGAAACGGGCGCUAAUACCGCAUACGUCCUGCGGGAGAAAGUGGGGGAUCUUCGGACAUCACGCUAUCAGAUGAGCCUAGGUCGGAUUAGCUAGUUGGUGGGGUAAAGGCCUACCAAGGCGACGAUCCGUAACUGGUCUGAGAGGAUGAUCAGUCACACUGGAACUGAGACACGGUCCAGACUCCUACGGGAGGCAGCAGUGGGGAAUAUUGGACAAUGGGCGAAAGCCUGAUCCAGCCAUGCCGCGUGUGUGAAGAAGGUCUUCGGAUUGUAAAGCACUUUAAGUUGGGAGGAAGGGCAGUAAGUUAAUACCUUGCUGUUUUGACGUUACCAACAGAAUAAGCACCGGCUAACUUCGUG